GGUAGCGACGGGCCAGCGGCGGGGGUAAGGCGUGGGGGGCCGGCGUGGGUCGGAAUUACUGGGCGGAAAGGGUCCGUAGGCGGGGCGGUAAGUCGGGAGUGAAAUCUCGGGGCGGAACUCAGAGGCUGCUUCCGAAACUACCGUGCUAGAGUGCGAGAGAGGCAAGUGGAAUUGCGGGUGUAGCGGUGAAAUGCGUAGAUAUCCGCAGGAACAUCCGAGGCGAAAGCGGCUUGCUGGAUCGCAACUGACGCUGAGGGACGAAAGCUAGGGGAGCAAACAGGAUUAGAUACCCCAGUAGUC
This 300-nucleotide ribosomal RNA is filed under the name uncultured bacterium. Its description in RNAcentral is "bacterial SSU rRNA". It matches the Rfam family "Bacterial small subunit ribosomal RNA", at positions 496 to 795 of the family's 1533-position model. The record is from RNAcentral.